RNAcentral lists this ribosomal RNA (253 nucleotides) under uncultured bacterium. Its description in RNAcentral is "partial 16S ribosomal RNA". It matches the Rfam family "Bacterial small subunit ribosomal RNA", at positions 524 to 776 of the family's 1533-position model. The record is from RNAcentral.
UACGGAGGGGGCAAGCGUUGUUCGGAAUUAUUGGGCGUAAAGAGUAUGUAGGCGGCUAUUUAAGUCAGGCGUGCGAGCCCACGGCUCAACCGUGGAAUUGCGUUUGAAACUAUUUAGCUUGAGUACAGGAGAGGAAGGCGGAAUUCCCAGUGUAGCGGUGAAAUGCAUUGAUAUUGGGAAGAACACCGGUGGCGAAGGCGACUUCUUGGCCGAGGACUGACGCUGAGGUGCGAAAGUGUGGGGAGCAAACAGG